This 994-nucleotide long non-coding RNA is filed under the name Equus caballus (horse). Its description in RNAcentral is "lncRNA (ENSECAG00000044057.1)". The record is from RNAcentral. Lineage: Eukaryota; Metazoa; Chordata; Mammalia; Perissodactyla; Equidae.
AAUGAGUAAAUAUUGUUCCACAGUCCUUUAGGGACAAUCCAAAUAUCAAGGGAUCUGGGCUCUCACUGCAACCAAGUUUUUCUCCAGCAGAAAGGGAGUCCCGGAGGGGUUUCUGAGGCAAUGGCUCUCCCUGGAGCUUCCAUCCCUGGAUGAAGACGUCUAUCUCUGCAUAGACAGAGGCAGUACCGGUUAAGCCCAGGCUGCUGGAAUCCAGGGAGGUUUUAUGUGAGGCUGUCUUGGAGUGAGAGCAAUGCCUGUGACCCAGAUUACUGCCACCCAUUUUAUGGAUGAAGAAACUAUGGUUGAGUGGAUGCCCAAGGCCAUGCUGCUACAGUGUAUUUGAGCUGGGAUCCAACCUCCUGGUUAUACUCUUCUAACCACCAAUCCAUACAACUCAUCUGUUCUAUUUCUUCUGGCUGGAACAACUUUCUCUCCUCUAGCUGCCUGGAAAACUCCUACCUGACCUUCAAAAUUCAGGUCCAAUGCCUCCUCCUCUGUGAAGCCUUCUCUGAUCCCACUCCAGACAGUUUCAUCUGCUUGGUACCCAGAGCAUCAUGCAUAUGUCUUUACUACAUUGCUCAUCAAUCUAUUCUGAAAUGAUAUGAACAAUGCUCAUUUUCCCCCUCAAACUCUAAAUUCUAUUAUCACAGAGCUAAGUUUUCUUACUCCCUUACAUCAUUGACUGACACUGGAAAAUGCUGCCAAUGAAGCGGCCCAUUCCAUAUUUGCUUGGAUUUCACUGUUAGAAAGUUCUUUGUUAGGGUGAACCACACAGCUGGCCUCACUAACAUCCACCUCCUGGGAGGAGGAAGCAGUUGGUUCUACCAUCUUCCUCUCAUAGAAGCUCUUCAGAUGCUGAGGACACCUGUCACCUGUCCCAAGGGGCGUCCCUGAUCAUGUCCUGUGUUGUCCCCAGCCAUUUCCUAUAGAACUUCCUACUCUCUUCCCUCUAAACACAAAGAGCUUUUCCCUUUAACUCCUUAUUUGUCAUUGG